AUUGAACGCUGGCGGCAGGCCUAACACAUACAAGUCGAGCGGAUGAAGGGAGCUUGCUCCUGGAUUCAGCGGCGGACGGGUGAGUAAUGCCUAGGAAUCUGCCUGGUAGUGGGGGAUAACGUCCGGAAACGGGCGCUAAUACCGCAUACGUCCUGAGGGAGAAAGUGGGGGAUCUUCGGACCUCACGCUAUCAGAUGAGCCUAGGUCGGAUUAGCUAGUUGGUGGGGUAAAGGCCUACCAAGGCGACGAUCCGUAACUGGUCUGAGAGGAUGAUCAGUCACACUGGAACUGAGACACGGUCCAGACUCCUACGGGAGGCAGCAGUGGGGAAUAUUGGACAAUGGGCGAAAGCCUUAUCCAGCCAUGCCGCGUGUGUGAAGAAGGUCUUCGGAUUGUAAAGCACUUUAAGUUGGGAGGAAGGGCAGUAAGUUAAUACCUUGCUGUUUUGACGUUACCAACAGAAUAAGCACCGGCUAACUUCGUG
Molecule: ribosomal RNA, 484 nt
Filed under: uncultured bacterium
Lineage: Bacteria
Description: partial 16S ribosomal RNA
Rfam family: Bacterial small subunit ribosomal RNA
Source: RNAcentral